UUCCUCCUCCUCCUCGCCUCACCGUCACUCUCAAACACCCCCCCCCCCCCCGACCGCUUCCCCCCGACGCCCCAAACUCCUUCUUCAGGACCGUGGGAUGCUGGUGAGCUCUGGUGAGAGUUGCCGGUCUCCAUUUCCAAGCGGGGAGCCGCCGGGAGCGCCUAUUUUACCAUUGAGGACGAGAUAGGCAGAAAAAGGAGCGUUUGACUUGGAGCUCGCCCCCGAUUUUAGUCCAAAGGAUCUGCUUCUGGGAAUUGCGUGUCCGGCUCCAGCGUUUUGCCUGCUGAGGAAGAGGCCCACUCUGUUCUCCAGCCUUGUUUCAUGGAUUUCUAUCUCUCCAAGUAAUUCCUCAGCAUCCCCUUGAAUGGCAUCUCCCGCACUAAAGAGCUUUUCCAACCCACAAGACUGAAAAAACUUCCCAUAACUGAAAUGACUCCAGCACAGCUAUUCCCUAGAAGACAUCCCCCCUGAUUUCUUGUGGGGACUGCAAUAUAUCUGAAGUUGUAGGGUUGAGGUGUCCAAAUUUGAAGACAGUAUUCAAAAAUAGCGAGGACAUGGAAAAGACGUUGAAGUCCUAUUGCUCCUGUUGGAAACUUCUGCUGACUGCAGCAUGAGUUGGAUUUGGCCCAGAGAAACCAAAUACACACAAGUAACAACGAGUUGGCCAUACAAGCAAGGAAAAUCACAGGUAACAGGUGAACACAAAUUAGCAAUGUACCUUUUAGGUCAUCCAGUACAGUUCCCUGAUACCAUGAGAUUGUUUCCUAUGGCAUAUUUUCGGUUGUUUUGUGUGCAUAGAUUAAAUGUCCUAAGUGAUGCCAUGUCCCCAGGGAUAGGCUGUGCUGUCUAGAGUAUAUUGUCGUCAAAAGGUUUUUUUUACCUUUCUUAACAUCAUCAUAUUUCUUCUAGUUACAUCCCUUUGCAAACUCCUUAUUUUCCUUCACUGAUGCAAUUUUCUUCCAGUAUCUUUUAACUGCUGUGUUUAGUUAGCAUAAUGCCAACCCGUAGCUAUUUAGAUCGUAUAAUCUUCCCUAACACAUCAGUCCUUUCAGUCUCCUGGUUAUUCCUUCUUUCCUCUUGUCACACUCCUGCCUGUCAGUAUCUUUUUUAGUUCUGAGAUUUUAAAGAUGUGAUGCAUUUCUCUGAACUAAUGACAGAUUCAGUAUAGAGCUGAGCACCCUCAAUGUCUUCUCACUGAAAACCCCUGAUGUGCCUAGGGAAAGCUGCCAGCAGUCUGGGCAGACACACAGGUAGUAAGUAUCCUGCUCAAACCACUUCCCUUGUGCCACUUAUUCUGUUGGCCAACAAAACCCUGUUAAAACAGUUAACAUAGUAGUCAAAAACCCCACAAAUACAUGUCAUUAUAGAUUUGUUUUAUUUCUCACAAUAUUAGGAGAUGAAAGUAGCACAGAUAAAAAAAACCUUUGUUACUGUUGUUGAGAUUUUCUAACUCUUGGUCAUGGACAUCACAGGCUAAAAAUUAAGGAAAAUGCCAUCUUCCAUAACUGUAUCUGAGUGUUAGAAGGGUACAUUGUAGAAAGUAAUUAUAAACAUAGUCACAAGCUUGGCUGUUCACUUCAGGCAAUAAAUUCUGAUCAACAAACAACACCCCUUUAGUG
Long non-coding RNA from Pezoporus flaviventris, 1619 nucleotides. RefSeq lists it as uncharacterized. The transcript has 7 exons. NCBI's taxonomy places the organism in Eukaryota, Metazoa, Chordata, Aves, Psittaciformes, Psittacidae. The record is from RefSeq and is a predicted model, not a curated record.